GGGCGUGUAGCUCAGUUGGUAGAGCGUUCCAUUCGCAUGGUGAUUUGGAAAGGUCUUUGGUUCGAUUCCUAACUCGUCCA
RNAcentral lists this transfer RNA (80 nucleotides) under Cutaneotrichosporon oleaginosum. RNAcentral's name for it is "Trichosporon oleaginosus tRNA". It matches the Rfam family "tRNA". Rfam says of the family: Transfer RNA (tRNA) molecules are approximately 80 nucleotides in length. Their secondary structure includes four short double-helical elements and three loops (D, anti-codon, and T loops). Further hydrogen bonds mediate the characteristic L-shaped molecular structure. tRNAs have two regions of fundamental functional importance: the anti-codon, which is responsible for specific mRNA codon recognition, and the 3' end, to which the tRNAs corresponding amino acid is attached (by aminoacyl-tRNA synthetases). tRNAs cope with the degeneracy of the genetic code in two manners: having more than one tRNA (with a specific anti-codon) for a particular amino acid; and 'wobble' base-pairing, i.e. permitting non-standard base-pairing at the 3rd anti-codon position. The record is from Rfam by way of RNAcentral. Lineage: Eukaryota; Fungi; Basidiomycota; Tremellomycetes; Trichosporonales; Trichosporonaceae.